Molecule: ribosomal RNA, 301 nt
Filed under: uncultured bacterium
Lineage: Bacteria
Description: partial 16S ribosomal RNA
Rfam family: Bacterial small subunit ribosomal RNA
Source: RNAcentral
CAGCCGCCGCGGGAAUACGUAGGUGGCAAGCGUUGUCCGGAAUUAUUGGGCGUAAAGGGCUCGCAGGCGGUUUCUUAAGUCUGAUGUGAAAGCCCCCGGCUCAACCGGGGAGGGUCAUUGGAAACUGGGAAACUUGAGUGCAGAAGAGGAGAGUGGAAUUCCACGUGUAGCGGUGAAAUGCGUAGAGAUGUGGAGGAACACCAGCGGCGAAGGCGACUCUCUGGUCUGUAACUGACGCUGAGGAGCGAAAGCGUGGGGAGCGAACAGGAUUAGAUACCCCAGUAGUCCCUGUCUCUUAUAC